CCUACGGGUGGCAGCAGGGAGGAAUAUUGGACAAUGGGGGAAACCCCGAUCCAGCAACGCCGCGUGAGGGAUGAAGGCCUUCGGGUCGUAAACCUCUUUUAAGGGAGACGAGAAAGGACGGUAUCCCUGGAAUAAGUCACGGCUAACUACGUGCCAGCAGCCGCGGUAAUACGUAGGUGACGAGCGUUAUCCGGAUUUACUGGGCGUAAAGCGCUUGUAGGUGGCUCUGUAAGUUGGGCGUGAAAACACCAGGCUUAACCUGGUGACGCCGUCCA
Molecule: ribosomal RNA, 275 nt
Filed under: uncultured bacterium
Lineage: Bacteria
Description: partial 16S ribosomal RNA
Rfam family: Bacterial small subunit ribosomal RNA
Source: RNAcentral